UGGGGAAUAUUGCACAAUGGGCGCAAGCCUGAUGCAGCCAUGCCGCGUGUGUGAAGAAGGCCUUCGGGUUGUAAAGCACUUUCAGCGAGGAGGAAGGUGGUGAGCUUAAUACGCUCAUCAAUUGACGUUACUCGCAGAAGAAGCACCGGCUAACUCCGUGCCAGCAGCCGCGGUAAUACGGAGGGUGCAAGCGUUAAUCGGAAUUACUGGGCGUAAAGCGCACGCAGGCGGUUUGUUAAGUCAGAUGUGAAAUCCCCGGGCUCAACCUGGGAACUGCAUUUGAAACUGGCAAGCUAGAGUCUCGUAGAGGGGGGUAGAAUUCCAGGUGUAGCGGUGAAAUGCGUAGAGAUCUGGAGGAAUACCGGUGGCGAAGGCGGCCCCCUGGACGAAGACUGACGCUCAGGUGCGAAAGCGUGGGGCAGCAAACAGGAUUAGAUACCCUGGUAGUCACGCUGUAAACGAUGUCGAUUUUGGAGGUUGUGCCCUUGAGGCGUGGCUUCCGGAGCUAACGCGUUAAAUCGACCGCCUGGGGAGUACGGCCGCAAGGUUAAAACUC
Molecule: ribosomal RNA, 556 nt
Filed under: uncultured bacterium
Lineage: Bacteria
Description: partial 16S ribosomal RNA
Rfam family: Bacterial small subunit ribosomal RNA
Source: RNAcentral